This 262-nucleotide ribosomal RNA is filed under the name uncultured bacterium. RNAcentral's name for it is "partial 16S ribosomal RNA". It matches the Rfam family "Bacterial small subunit ribosomal RNA", at positions 793 to 1055 of the family's 1533-position model. The record is from RNAcentral.
GUCCACGCUGUAAACGUUGGGCACUAGGUGUGGGACUCUAUCGACGGGUUCCGUGCCGCAGCUAACGCAUUAAGUGCCCCGCCUGGGGAGUACGGCCGCAAGGCUAAAACUCAAAGGAAUUGACGGGGGUCCGCACAAGCGGCGGAGCAUGUUGCUUAAUUCGAUGCAACGCGAAGAACCUUACCUUGGUUUGACAUGUAGGGAAAAGCCGUAGAGAUACGGUGUCCUUCGGGGCCCUACACAGGUGGUGCAUGGCUGUCGU